GGGUAAGAGAUGCUACCAUUUGUUCUGUGCUCAUGAAGCACUGGAGGCGUAACAGUGUUCAGGCUCCUGAAUUUGAAUGGUAGCUCUGGGUAUCUCUUGGACCUGAGCCACCAGAGCAGGAGAGAUGCCCCUAGGAGGAAACAGAAUUAGCAGAGUGAGCAAGUCUGAUUGAUUCAGCAUCUGAAUACACUGUACCAUGAGGAUCCUCUUAUCCUGAGCAGAAGUCUGUCAAAGUCAAUUCCAACAACUGAUGAGGCCGUUCAGGUGACAUCACCCUAGGAAAUUAUUUAAGUGAUACAGAGACUUUCUCAGUCUGUAGCUGUUUUAGACCGUGAAAUGACCAAAGCCUGCCUUUGGUUAGGAGUGCUGCUGGUACCCCAUAUCUUCAAUACCUCUCUGAAACAAAGGCUUGUUUGCUGCUAUUUGGUGAAGCACUCCCAUGUCACAGCUGCUACUUAGACAACUAAGACCUGGCCCACUAGGCUGCCAAGAGAGCAAGAAGAGAUUUGUAGAUGCCAGACGAGGUGGGAGAAGGAGGAAGAGCCCAAGUGUCUUGUUUGGUAUUUAAUGAAGACAGAAGGAAUGCUCCUGCAGGAGCUGUAGGUGAAAGGUAUUAUAGAGGAGCUAGAAAUUACUGGCAAUGGUGGCAAAAGCCGUAGGGAAUGAAACAGAGGUGCCAAGAAGAGGAUGAAACUGAGAAGGGCAAGGACAGAAUUGCUGUACCUCUUCCUUCCUGAAUCCUAUACCACUUGGAAAAAGAGGAUGAAUGCCAGCAGGCUGUUAACAAAGCAGCAGGUUUGCAGCAUGCUGCUCAAGGAAGACAGGAAGAGUAGGUGUUUGCCUGAAAUCCCAUCAUGGCAACUUCUGCAUUUGAUGAGUAUUACCAGCAUAGACAUGGGCACCGUGGAGGGAAUCCUGGCCACACAGAAAAAUGUAAGUCCACUUGAAUGCUUUCUCCUGGUGAUGCUUUUUCACUUCUUACCAGCACCUCAGACUCCCAUUCCAUAG
This 1008-nucleotide long non-coding RNA is filed under the name Coturnix japonica (Japanese quail). RNAcentral describes it as "lncRNA (ENSCJPG00005009005.1)". Lineage: Eukaryota; Metazoa; Chordata; Aves; Galliformes; Phasianidae. The record is from RNAcentral.